This 727-nucleotide long non-coding RNA is filed under the name Homo sapiens (human). RNAcentral's name for it is "long non-coding RNA NONHSAT157331.1". The record is from RNAcentral. Lineage: Eukaryota; Metazoa; Chordata; Mammalia; Primates; Hominidae.
CUGACUGAGGCCAAACCAGUAUGGGAGCUCCUUUGAAAAACCCAGCUAGGGCCAGGAAGGCCAGACAAGUGGACUUUCAUUGCAGUCAGAAGCAGUCCAAGGAGAUGAAUGAUUUGGGGCAGGUGGGUGCCUUCAGUGCUGCUCUGUCAGAGGAGCAUCCUUCUGUGAGCCUUGCUUUUCCUUCUGCAAACUGGCUAAGAGUAGCAGAGCACUCAACACCCAAAACCGCAAUGUGUGCGUGGCCGAAGACCGAGGCAACUGUGUCACAUCCUGGGCAUCUUACAUCUAUGGGCCUUCACAAUGAACAGAAAGCUGCAGUUUCCUCCUCUGUAUUCUUUCUCCACUCCCACUCGCCUCAUGUACCCCACUGACCCAGGUAUGAGAAACCCAGCCUGCACCUUCUAUAGCACCACAUGCCUAGACUGAGGAAAGAUCCACAAAUGCCACUCUUCUUCGAAUAGCCUACCUUCAUGAAGUCUCACCAUAGAUCCUCCUGUAGCCCUUGGCCUCAGAGAGUUUACACUGUUGCCUCCACCAUGGAAAUAAUGCCUAUUGAGCAUCCACAAGGAGGUCUUUGUUCCUGCCUGUGCCAUCCAUAAAACUGAUGUGAGGGCUGAGCAAUCUUCCUCUCUAUUCUCCUUCUGUGGAUAGUGCAUGUACACACAAAAUCACAAGGAAAAUUCACUCAGUUCUCUACUGUAGGCUCACAGUGAUGUAUUAGAAAGUU